Molecule: ribosomal RNA, 1235 nt
Filed under: Escherichia coli
Lineage: Bacteria; Pseudomonadati; Pseudomonadota; Gammaproteobacteria; Enterobacterales; Enterobacteriaceae
Also listed under: 1 other name
Description: partial 23S ribosomal RNA
Rfam family: Bacterial large subunit ribosomal RNA
Source: RNAcentral
GUACACAAAAAUGCACAUACUGUGAGCUCGAUGAGUAGGGCGGGACACGUGGUAUCCUGUCUGAAUAUGGGGGGACCAUCCUCCAAGGCUAAAUACUCCUGACUGACCGAUAGUGAACCAGUACCGUGAGGGAAAGGCGAAAAGAACCCCGGCGAGGGGAGUGAAAAAGAACCUGAAACCGUGUACGUACAAGCAGUGGGAGCCUCUUAAUGGGGUGACUGCGUACCUUUUGUAUAAUGGGUCAGCGACUUAUAUUCUGUAGCAAGGUUAACCGAAUAGGGGAGCCGAAGGGAAACCGAGUCUUAACUGGGCGUUAAGUUGCAGGGUAUAGACCCGAAACCCGGUGAUCUAGCCAUGGGCAGGUUGAAGGUUGGGUAACACUAACUGGAGGACCGAACCGACUAAUGUUGAAAAAUUAGCGGAUGACUUGUGGCUGGGGGUGAAAGGCCAAUCAAACCGGGAGAUAGCUGGUUCUCCCCGAAAGCUAUUUAGGUAGCGCCUCGUGAAUUCAUCUCCGGGGGUAGAGCACUGUUUCGGCAAGGGGGUCAUCCCGACUUACCAACCCGAUGCAAACUGCGAAUACCGGAGAAUGUUAUCACGGGAGACACACGGCGGGUGCUAACGUCCGUCGUGAAGAGGGAAACAACCCAGACCGCCAGCUAAGGUCCCAAAGUCAUGGUUAAGUGGGAAACGAUGUGGGAAGGCCCAGACAGCCAGGAUGUUGGCUUAGAAGCAGCCAUCAUUUAAAGAAAGCGUAAUAGCUCACUGGUCGAGUCGGCCUGCGCGGAAGAUGUAACGGGGCUAAACCAUGCACCGAAGCUGCGGCAGCGACGCUGAUGCGUUGUUGGGUAGGGGAGCGUUCUGUAAGCCUGUGAAGGUGGCCUGUGAGGGUUGCUGGAGGUAUCAGAAGUGCGAAUGCUGACAUAAGUAACGAUAAAGCGGGUGAAAAGCCCGCUCGCCGGAAGACCAAGGGUUCCUGUCCAACGUUAAUCGGGGCAGGGUGAGUCGACCCCUAAGGCGAGGCCGAAAGGCGUAGUCGAUGGGAAACAGGUUAAUAUUCCUGUACUUGGUGUUACUGCGAAGGGGGGACGGAGAAGGCUAUGUUGGCCGGGCGACGGUUGUCCCGGUUUAAGCGUGUAGGCUGGUUUUCCAGGCAAAUCCGGAAAAUCAAGGCUGAGGCGUGAUGACGAGGCACUACGGUGCUGAAGCGACAAAUGCCCUGCUUCCAGGAAAAG